Molecule: long non-coding RNA, 360 nt
Organism: Myripristis murdjan (pinecone soldierfish)
Lineage: Eukaryota; Metazoa; Chordata; Actinopteri; Holocentriformes; Holocentridae
Exons: 3
Source: RefSeq, a predicted model, not a curated record
AAGCCGCAUGACAGCCAAUCAAUCAACCGUCAAAUCAGACAUGGCAACUGUCGAUUAUGGCUCCUUCCAGUCCACGAAACCCCUUUGUCUGCGCUGAAAUUGUUUAUCUUAUCCCAGGCAAAGAAAAAAAGGGGAGAGUAUCUCUGGAGAGUGGGAUGGUCCUUGGUUUCCCCUUGUGUCUGUGAUGAGUGCUGACCCCUGCCAGCCAAAGACACAUACAAAUACCGAAACAUGCUGCAUGCGGGGAACAUAAAAGAGAGGAUGUUUAUGAUGGACAGGCAGCUUUUUAAAGAGAAGCAUCACAGAGUGUUGGAUGGGAGGGAUCUGAAUCGGGACGGCUGUGAUGUGACGAGACAGACA